Callorhinchus milii (elephant shark) is the source of this 852-nucleotide long non-coding RNA. RefSeq lists it as uncharacterized. The record is from RefSeq and is a predicted model, not a curated record. The transcript is spliced from 2 exons. NCBI's taxonomy places the organism in Eukaryota, Metazoa, Chordata, Chondrichthyes, Chimaeriformes, Callorhinchidae.
ACAAUGAGAAAGGGCAAAGAGGGGGAAGAGAGUCGCCCUCUCCGCAGACUCUGCACACUGCGGAGGAGCGCGGGAGAGAAACAAACGCUCACGAGGAAGGGCACGGAGCAGGGUAGAGAUACAGAGUCACGCGGCGAGAAAGGACGCAGAGAAGAGAGAGACGUACAAAGAAACGGGAAGCUUAAAGAAUGCAGCGACGAGGAGCCCAGCCUGAAGUUCUCCCCUCGACCAACCUGUUGUCAGUAGGAGAGAUUCCCCUCGCUGAGGGGAAAGAAGCCUCUUACUCAAGUUGCCGGCAGAACGAGUUAUCCCAAUCCGUGAGGACGGAACGGGCACUAAGUUCGAAUAGAUUCGAUGUGCAAUUUCCUCCGGACGAACCGCAUUGAUGGGCGAGAUGCAAAUGUGAUGGGAUUGUUUUGCAUUCUUUUAAUUUGAUCUUUUCUUUGUUCAUUAUGAAUGGUUAAAAAGCCUCUGAAGGUGGAGGACUGGAUUGGGAGGAAAGAAAUUCCAGAGAUUUGAGGUUCAAAGGCGAGAAUGAGGUCGAGAAAGCCACUCCACUGGGAAGAAAUGGUGCAUUUUAUACUGAAAGUGGUAAUGUUGCAGUGCCCGUCUGUGACAGUUCCAACCCACCAACCGGAUGAGAUCCAACUUCUCAAAAUGAGUACAUUUUUCUACAAGGACAUCAGAUCCACAUUUGGAAACGAGUGUUCAUUUUCAGCAGACCCGGCGGAAACAAAAUGCAGCUUUCGGGGUAAAUUGCAUUCACCGGACCUUCACAAAGUGGACGCUGAACUGGCCUCAUUCCUUGCUUAUGAGCUUUUAAGAUAUGAAUAAAAUUACGGGUCAAGACUA